AUAACGACUCUCGGCAACGGAUAUCUCGGCUCUCGCAUCGAUGAAGAACGUAGCGAAAUGCGAUACUUGGUGUGAAUUGCAGAAUCCCGUGAACCAUCGAGUCUUUGAACGCAAGUUGCGCCCGAAGCCAUCUGGCCGAGGGCACGUCUGCCUGGGCGUCACGC
RNAcentral lists this ribosomal RNA (164 nucleotides) under Lysionotus pauciflorus. Its description in RNAcentral is "5.8S ribosomal RNA". It matches the Rfam family "5.8S ribosomal RNA". From Rfam's summary of the family: 5.8S ribosomal RNA (5.8S rRNA) is a component of the large subunit of the eukaryotic ribosome. It is transcribed by RNA polymerase I as part of the 45S precursor that also contains 18S and 28S rRNA. Lineage: Eukaryota; Viridiplantae; Streptophyta; Magnoliopsida; Lamiales; Gesneriaceae. RNAcentral also lists the same sequence under 1 other name. The record is from RNAcentral.